This 76-nucleotide transfer RNA is filed under the name Candidatus Saccharimonadota bacterium. Its description in RNAcentral is "tRNA-Ile". It matches the Rfam family "tRNA". From Rfam's summary of the family: Transfer RNA (tRNA) molecules are approximately 80 nucleotides in length. Their secondary structure includes four short double-helical elements and three loops (D, anti-codon, and T loops). Further hydrogen bonds mediate the characteristic L-shaped molecular structure. tRNAs have two regions of fundamental functional importance: the anti-codon, which is responsible for specific mRNA codon recognition, and the 3' end, to which the tRNAs corresponding amino acid is attached (by aminoacyl-tRNA synthetases). tRNAs cope with the degeneracy of the genetic code in two manners: having more than one tRNA (with a specific anti-codon) for a particular amino acid; and 'wobble' base-pairing, i.e. permitting non-standard base-pairing at the 3rd anti-codon position. RNAcentral also lists the same sequence under 2 other names. The record is from RNAcentral. Lineage: Bacteria; Candidatus Saccharimonadota.
GCGCCCAUAGCUCAGGGGUUAGAGCACCACUCUUAUAAAGUGGGGGUCGAUGGUUCAAAUCCAUCUGGGCGCACCA